Molecule: ribosomal RNA, 1924 nt
Filed under: bovine gut metagenome
Description: bacterial LSU rRNA
Rfam family: Bacterial large subunit ribosomal RNA
Source: RNAcentral
GAAGGACGUGGUAAGCUGCGAAAAGCUGCGGGGAGCUGCAAACAGGCUUCGAUCCGCAGAUGUCCGAAUGGGGCAACCCGCACAGUUGAAGGCUGUGCACGCAUUACAUGCGAGUCAACGCAGGGAACUGAAACAUCUUAGUACCUGCAGGAAGAGAAAGAAAAAUCGAUUUCCUGAGUAGUGGCGAGCGAAAGGGAAAGAGCCCAAACCGGUGUUGUUGAGGCAACGCCGGGGUAGUAGGAGCAGGCAACAAGACCAGUGAUCGAACCGGAAGUGUCUGGAAAGUCACACCGAAGACAGUGACAGUCUGGUACGGGAAAGAGAGAUGGUCGAGCCGGCCACCUGAGUAGGGCGGGACACGAGGAAUCCUGUCUGAAACCGCGGGGACCAUCCCGCAAGGCUAAAUACGACCUGAAGACCGAUAGUGGACCAGUACCGUGAGGGAAAGGUGAAAAGAACCCCGAACAGGGGAGUGAAAUAGAACCUGAAACCGUUCGUUUACAAGCUGUAGGAGCAGGGUAACCUGCGACUGCGUGCCUUUUGCAUAAUGAGCCUACGAGUUGCGUCGCGCCAGCGAGGUUAAGUCCUUCAGGGACAGGAGCCGAAGCGAAAGCGAGUCUGGCAAGGGCGUUAUAGUUGGCGCGAGCAGACGCGAAACCUAGUGAUCUACCCUUGGCCAGGAUGAAGGUGCCGUAACAGGCACUGGAGGUCCGAACCAGUUUCCGUUGAAAAGGAUUUGGAUGAGUUGAGGGUAGGGGUGAAAGGCUAAUCAAACUGGGAGAUAGCUCGUACUCCCCGAAAUGUCUUUAGGGACAGCCUCGGUGCAGAUUCGCGGAGGUAGAGCGACUGAUAGGAUGCGAGGGCUUCACCGCCUAUCAAUUCCUGACAAACUCCGAAUGCCGUGGAUUGGUCGCCGGGAGUGAGUCGCCGGGUGCUAAUGUCCGGUGGCGAGAGGGAAAUAGCCCAGACCAACAGCUAAGGCCCUUAAACGUGACCUAAGUUAACAGAACGAGGUGACUUCGCAGAGACAGCUAGGAUGUUAGCUUGGAAGCAGCUAUUCAUUUAAAGAGUGCGUAACAGCUCACUAGUCGAGCGGGGUUGCGUGGAUGAUAAACGGGUAUCAAGGUCACUGCCGAAGCUAUGGACUCCGAAUAGAGAGUGGUAGGGGAGCAUUCCGACCGGCAGAGAAGGUGGACCGUAAGGUCUGCUGGAGCGAUCGGAAAAGAAGAUGUAGGCAUAAGUAACGACAAUGCGUGACAGAAACACGCACACCGAAACCCCCAGGUUUCCUGAACAACGUUAAACGGAUCAGGGUUAGUCGGGGCCUAAGGAUAACCCGAAAGGGGAGGUCCGAUGGACAAAUGGUAAACAUUCCAUUACCUGUGCAAGGUGUCAGAGGAGAGACGGAGGAAUGACACGCCCGCCGGCUGACGGAAUAGCCGGUUGAAGGGAGGUAGCUAGACGGUCGGGUUAAGAGCUCGACUGUGGCGAGACCUGAUAGUACGCCGAGUCUUCGGACGAAGCGACAGCGGCGGUAAGUAGACUCCCGAGAAAAGCUUCCGCGACAUAACCUUGCGCAGCCCGUACCGUAAACCGACACAGGUGGGGAGGGAGAGAAUCCCGAGGUGCUCGAGUGAAUCAUGGCUAAGGAACUCGGCAAAUUAACCCCGUAACUUAGGGAUAAGGGGACCCUGCUUGAGCAGGGCGCAGAGAAAUGGCUCAGGCGACUGUUUACCAAAAACACAUGGCUUUGCAAAUUCGAAAGAAAAGGUAUAAGGCCUGACACCUGCCCGGUGCCGGAAGGUUAAGAGGGGAUGUCAGUUUAAUUUAUUAGAUGAAGCAUUGAAUCGAAGCCCCGGUAAACGGCGGCCGUAACUAUAACGGUCCUAAGGUAGCGAAAUUCCUUGUCGGGUAAGUUCCGACC